CAUGUCUUUUUGAUUAUAAUUUAAGGUUUAAUCUGCUCAAUGAGGAUUUAAAUUGCCGCGGUAUUUUGACUGUGCAAAGGUAGCAUAAUAAUUAGUUUUUUUAUUGAAAGCUGGAAUGAAUGAUUGGACGAGAAAACUACUGUCUCCUUUCAAAUUUUAUUGAAUUUAACUUUUGAGUAAAAAGGCUCAAUUAAUUUUUAAAGACGAGAAGACCCUGUAGAGUUUAAUUAAUUUUUUAUUAUGACUUUUUUGGAAUUGUUUGUUAUAUUAAUUUAUUUAUUUGGUUGGGGUGACUUAAAGAUUUAUUUAACUCUUUUAUUUUUUUAUCAAUGAUUUUUGAUUAUUAAAUUUGAUUUUUUUAAAUUUAAGAUAAAUUACCUUAGGGAUAACAGCGUAAUUUUCUUUUAAAGUUCUUAUUGGAAGGAAAGUUUGCGACCUCGAUGUUGGAUUAAAAUUUAUUUUUGGUGCAGAAGCUGAAUAAUUAAGUCUGUUCGACUUUUGAAAUUUUACAUGAUCUGAGU
This 521-nucleotide ribosomal RNA is filed under the name Elaterinae sp. UPOL RK0404. RNAcentral describes it as "partial 16S ribosomal RNA". The stretch from base 385 to 521 matches the Rfam family "Bacterial large subunit ribosomal RNA", at positions 2473 to 2610 of the family's 2925-position model. Lineage: Eukaryota; Metazoa; Arthropoda; Insecta; Coleoptera; Elateridae. The record is from RNAcentral.